This 478-nucleotide ribosomal RNA is filed under the name uncultured bacterium. RNAcentral's name for it is "partial 16S ribosomal RNA". It matches the Rfam family "Bacterial small subunit ribosomal RNA", at positions 28 to 523 of the family's 1533-position model. The record is from RNAcentral.
GACGAACGCAGGCGGCGUGCUUAACACAUGCAAGUCGAACGGUAAGGCCCUUCGGGGUACACGAGUGGCGAACGGGUGAGUAACACGUGGAUGAUCUGCCCUGCACUUCGGGAUAAGCCUGGGAAACUGGGUCUAAUACCGGAUAGGACUCCGGACUGCAUGGUCUGGGGUGGAAAGCUUUUGCGGUGUGGGAUGGGCCCGCGGCCUAUCAGCUUGUUGGUGGGGUGAUGGCCUACCAAGGCGACGACGGGUAGCCGGCCUGAGAGGGUGACCGGCCACACUGGGACUGAGAUACGGCCCAGACUCCUACGGGAGGCAGCAGUGGGGAAUAUUGCACAAUGGGCGCAAGCCUGAUGCAGCGACGCCGCGUGAGGGAUGACGGCCUUCGGGUUGUAAACCUCUUUCAGCAUCGACGAAGCGAAAGUGACGGUAGGUGCAGAAGAAGGACCGGCCAACUACGUGCCAGCCGCCGCAGUAA